This 376-nucleotide transfer-messenger RNA is filed under the name Chitinophagaceae. RNAcentral's name for it is "Flavihumibacter sp000814325 Standard tmRNA". It matches the Rfam family "transfer-messenger RNA". Rfam says of the family: Bacterial tmRNA, also known as 10Sa RNA or SsrA, is named for its dual tRNA and mRNA-like properties. Its role is to liberate the mRNA from a stalled ribosome. To accomplish this part of the tmRNA is used as a reading frame that ends in a translation stop signal. Lineage: Bacteria; Pseudomonadati; Bacteroidota; Chitinophagia; Chitinophagales. The record is from RNAcentral. RNAcentral also lists the same sequence under 1 other name.
GGGGCUGUAUUGGCUUCGACAGCGUAGUUCUUUGAGAGUAUAAGCAUGUCGUGCGUUGGAUAAUUAGCACGUUAAUCUGAAUAUUCAAAACUCAAAUGGCAAUACACAGUAUGCCAUGGCUGCCUAAUCAGUGAUUAAGUAGUCAUUAGGGCCGCGUUGAGCAGGUUGGUCUGUUACCAAGCUCCGCCGCCGACUCAAAACAAAAUACAGGCUGCUGCAAGUGAAGGCUGUGACGCUUGCUUAAGACCAUCCAGCUAAGGGGGAAAUUGGUUCGUGCUGUUCCUGCUUCCCUUCUACAAUUAAUACAGUAAUAAGCAUGUAGAAAACUUUCGGCGGAUAUGUUUGGACGAGGGUUCGACUCCCUCCAGCUCCACCG